AUUGAACGCUGGCGGCAGGCCUAACACAUGCAAGUCGAGCGGAUGAAGGGAGCUUGCUCCUGGAUUCAGCGGCGGACGGGUGAGUAAUGCCUAGGAAUCUGCCUGGUAGUGGGGGAUAACGUCCGGAAACGGGCGCUAAUACCGCAUACGUCCUGAGGGAGAAAGUGGGGGAUCUUGGGCCCUCAGGUAUCAGAUUAGCCCUAGGUCGGAUUAGCUAGUUGGUGGGGUAAAGGCCUACCAAGGCGACGAUCCGUAACUGGUCUGAGAGGAUGAUCAGUCACACUGGAACUGAGACACGGUCCAGACUCCUACGGGAGGCAGCAGUGGGGAAUAUUGGACAAUGGGCGAAAGCCUGAUCCAGCCAUGCCGCGUGUGUGAAGAAGGUCUUCGGAUUGUAAAGCACUUUAAGUUGGGAGGAAGGGCAGUAAGUUAAUACCUUGCUGUUUUGACGUUACCAACAGAAUAAGCACCGGCUAACUUCGUG
Molecule: ribosomal RNA, 484 nt
Filed under: uncultured bacterium
Lineage: Bacteria
Description: partial 16S ribosomal RNA
Rfam family: Bacterial small subunit ribosomal RNA
Source: RNAcentral